AGUGGAGAAAAGCCUUCAUGUAUUUAAGCUUUAUUUGGGGAUUGUGAAUUAAGCAUCUCCAGAUCAUGUACCAGUAACCCUGAUCUGUGGAGAAAAGCUUGCGAUGGGCACAUUCAUUGGGCACGUAGUACCUGGCUUUGCCCUCACCCUUCUUGGUUUAUGGCACACCGUCAACACUAUCAGAUCUUAUUUUCUCAAAGGCCCUAGUAACUUUAGAGUAAGGUUUUGGUACCCAUUGAACUGCCCUUUUCCCAAAAUUAAACACCUUGAAGUCAUUUUCAUCUUAUCUUUCUCUGUAUUUGCAAUUAUUAUGCAAGUUCUAGACUUCCUGUUUUUUAACUUCUCCUUCAAGCUCCAUAAUUUGGAGCAUGCAACCAUGUUCCUCCACCUUGCCAUAUUUGCAGGGUUUACACUUUCAGCUGAGUUUAUUAAUUCGUUUCAAAUCAUAUCUGGGGUCGUUGGAUUGCUUACGGCCUCUGUUUUCUGCCAAGAGCUUUUCCUUCUCCAUUUCCACUCCACUGACCAUGUUGGUCUUGAAGAGCAUUACCAUUGGUUAUUGCAGCUCAUAGUGUUUGCUAUGCGGCAAGGUUGGUGCUUUACUAUUUUCUUUGUGAAUGAUCCAAUUUGCUCCAUCAUUCUUUUUGUGCAGAAAGAUAUUCAUCGGAGGCUUGACAAAGAACACCACCUUGGGUUCGUGGAGAAUUGCCGCUUCCGAAGUGUAGAGCCUCUUUGGAUUAAGUGGAGUUCUCCGACAAGAGCUGGCUUCAAGCUUGGCAGAUAGUGUUACUCAAAUGUCUCAAGAUUGGCUAAUUCUAUGAUGAGUAGAGAAACUCAUACUAGAGAGUCUCUAGUAGAGACUGUGGUGCCUGAUGCUAAUGGAAAUGGUCCAGUUGACAACUAUAGCUAUGCAGAGCAAAGAUUGCCGUAGGUUGUCGAAUCUAAGUUUAUCAUGGAGGAUCCUUCUGCAGAACCGGUUCAUUUGAACGUGCAAUGAAUGUUGUACAAGAUCACCUGCCUUCAUCUGUUGAGGAACAUAUUUAAGAGCCCCAGAAGCAGACCUAUGCUUCAAAGUUAUGCGUUGCUAAAGGACAACCUGCAUUAUCUGCAGCUCCUCAGCAUUCAGUUGACAGGAGUGCACCACUGGCUUCAGAUUGGAAUGAUCGUCCGAUGCAGUUGAAAGGCCUGUAGCAGAGUCCCCAUGCCAUUCCCCUAGGUAUAAGAGGCGAUCCUAAGUCUGUGCCCCAUUUUUUUCUUCCCUUUCGCUCUACCAGAGUUUCAUAAUUCUCUCUUGCUCUGAAAACCGGAGCUAAGAUGCCUUCUUUGGGCUUAGGAACCUCGCAGUCCAGCCCUGGCUUGGUCAGUGACGCUGCCGCUGCCAUCAAGGAUAUGGGCAUAUUGAUUGGGCUCCACUCUAUGGAAAUGAGGAGGAGGUAAUUUUAGUUGCUUUUAGUUGCAAAACCCGGUCAUGCCUGAUUUCAAGGGCCAAAAUGGUUCAAAGAGAACGAAUAUACAUUACAUGCUGAUAGGAUUUGGUAUCAUUUGGAACUUUAUAUUCACACUGGACAGCUGGUACUAGAUAUUGACAAAAAGUGUGGCUCAAUUAAUUGGAUAUUGGGUUGGGUUCAUUUGGAAUUUGAUUACUGAAAAUGGAAGUAAAGGUGGAGUCGUUUUGUUUUGUUUAUUGAUUUUUAUGUGUUGGUUUUGAAGGUAUCAAUUGGAACUGUGUAUGAAAGCUUUGGAGAAGAACAUAAUUGUCUAUCUGGAAACUGGUUGUGGAAAGACCCACAUAGCCGUGUUGCCUAUGUAUGAACCAGUUGAUACUCAAACCUCAGAAGAACAUGUGUGUUCUGUGUCCUGGAGAUCGUUGUGGUAUAUAUGGAUCAAAUUGCUCCCAAUGGAUUAUUGCAAUAGAGCUGUGUUCUUUCAGAUUUUGAAGCCUGACAUGUUUCUAAAGAAGAUGGAGAGAGAGGUUAGAAGAAGAGGAAGAGGAAGAGGAGAUUGAGUAUCAUUUGCUAGGACUGAAGACCACUAAAUGCUGAAGAAUGGAGUGGAUUUAUGUUAUUAUGCAUAUAUAUGGUCAAGUAAUGUUUAAAUGUACUGUUAUGAACGUUGUCAAAUAGCAUUGGUAGUAGUAUAUAUGUCAAGUUCGCUGAUUUAGUUUCCUUUUGAGACAUUGGACUGUAAGAGUUUGUGUGACAUAUUAGAAUCUGCUUCUUCUUGGCCCCGUGGCUGGCAAUCUUAAAUAGAUUCAGCCGUGUAUGCUUGAGCUAUUAGUUGAUUUUCUGCUUCAGAUGAUGUUUUAAA
RNA transcript from Rosa rugosa (rugosa rose), 2304 nucleotides. RefSeq lists it as uncharacterized. The transcript has 7 exons. NCBI's taxonomy places the organism in Eukaryota, Viridiplantae, Streptophyta, Magnoliopsida, Rosales, Rosaceae. The record is from RefSeq and is a predicted model, not a curated record.